This 253-nucleotide ribosomal RNA is filed under the name uncultured bacterium. Its description in RNAcentral is "partial 16S ribosomal RNA". It matches the Rfam family "Bacterial small subunit ribosomal RNA", at positions 524 to 776 of the family's 1533-position model. The record is from RNAcentral.
GACGAACCGUGCGAACGUUGUUCGGAAUCACUGGGCGUAAAGGGCGCGUAGGCGGCGUGACAAGUCACUUGUGAAAUCUCUGGGCUUAACCCAGAACGGCCAAGUGAAACUGUUGUGCUAGAGUGCAGAAGGGGCAAUCGGAAUUCUCGGUGUAGCGGUGAAAUGUGUAGAUAUCGAGAGGAACACCGGUGGCGAAGGCGGGUCUCUGGGCAGUAACUGACGCUGAGGAGCGAAAGCGUGGGGAGCGAACGGG